GGCCCCGUCGUCCAGUGGUCCAGGAUGCCUCCCUUUCAAGGAGGUGACGCCGGUUCGAACCCGGUCGGGGCUA
Molecule: transfer RNA, 73 nt
Filed under: Actinomycetota bacterium
Lineage: Bacteria; Bacillati; Actinomycetota
Description: tRNA-Glu
Rfam family: tRNA
About the family: Transfer RNA (tRNA) molecules are approximately 80 nucleotides in length. Their secondary structure includes four short double-helical elements and three loops (D, anti-codon, and T loops).
Source: RNAcentral